RNAcentral lists this ribosomal RNA (451 nucleotides) under uncultured Fibrobacter sp. Its description in RNAcentral is "partial 16S ribosomal RNA". It matches the Rfam family "Bacterial small subunit ribosomal RNA", at positions 341 to 792 of the family's 1533-position model. The record is from RNAcentral. Lineage: Bacteria; Pseudomonadati; Fibrobacterota; Fibrobacteria; Fibrobacterales; Fibrobacteraceae.
ACGGAAGGCAGCAGUAGGGAAUAUUGCACAAUGGGGGAAACCCUGAUGCAGCAACGCCACGUGUGGGGAGAAGCAGUUCGGUGUGUAAACCACUGUCGUGAGGGAAUAAUGCUUAAUUUCGGUUAAGUUGAAUGUACCUCGAAAGGAAGCACCGGCAAACUUCGUGCCAGCAGCCGCGGUAAUACGAGGGGUGCAAGCGUUGUUCGGAAUCACUGGGCGUAAAGGGAGCGCAGGCGGAGAUGCAAGCAGUCUGUACCAUACCGGGGCCCAACCCCGGACCUGCAGACUGGUCUGUUUCUCUUGGAUCGUUCAGGGGCAAGCGGAAUUCCUGGUGUAGCGGUGGAAUGCGUAGAGUUCAGGAAGAACACCGAUGGCGAAGGCAGCUUGCUGGGGACUUAUCGACGCUCAUGCUCGAAAGUGCGGGUAGCUAACAGUAUUAGAUACCCUGGUA